CAAUAGCGUAUAUUAAAGUUGUUGCAGUUAAAAAGCUCGUAGUUGGAGUUCAGAGUGAGCUCGUCCGGUCGGCCUUAUGGGUCAGAACUGGUUGACUCUCUCUUGUUUGUGGAUCCUGUCAGCAGUUAACUCUGUUGAUGUGGAGUCCACAUCGUUUACCUUGAAAAAAUUAGAGUGUUCAAAGCAGGCAAUCGCUUGAAUACAUUAGCAUGGAAUAAUAGAAUAGGACUUUGGUUCUAUUUUGUUGGUUUCUAGGACCGAAGUAAUGAUUAAUAGGGACAGUUGGGGGCACUCGUAUUCCGUCGAGAGAGGUGAAAUUCUCAGACCAACGGAAGACGAACCACUGCGAAAGCAUUUGCCAGGGAUGUUUUUCACUGAUCAAGAACGAAAGUUAGGGGAUCGAAGAUGAUCAGAU
This 415-nucleotide ribosomal RNA is filed under the name uncultured eukaryote. RNAcentral describes it as "bacterial SSU rRNA". It matches the Rfam family "Eukaryotic small subunit ribosomal RNA", at positions 592 to 1013 of the family's 1831-position model. The record is from RNAcentral.